AGCUUAUUAGCUCAACUGGACGAGCACCGUGCAACUUGCGUGGAGAUGUAGGUUCAAAUCCUACAUAGGCUA
Spinacia oleracea (spinach) is the source of this 72-nucleotide non-coding RNA. The record is from Rfam. Lineage: Eukaryota; Viridiplantae; Streptophyta; Magnoliopsida; Caryophyllales; Amaranthaceae.